This 254-nucleotide ribosomal RNA is filed under the name uncultured bacterium. RNAcentral's name for it is "partial 16S ribosomal RNA". It matches the Rfam family "Bacterial small subunit ribosomal RNA", at positions 524 to 776 of the family's 1533-position model. The record is from RNAcentral.
CACGGGGGGGACUAACGUUAUUCAUCAUAACUGGGCGUAAAGGGUACGUAGGUGGUUUAUUAAGUCUUAAAUAAAAAAUCUAAGCGUAACUUAGAAAUUAUUUAUUAUACUGAUAUUCUAGAGGUUAAUAGGAGAAAGUUAUAUUUUUGCAGGAGGGGUAAAAUUCUAAGAUAGCAAAAAGAUAACCGUUUAGCGAAGGCGACUUUCUAUAUUAAUGCUGACAUUGAGGUACGAAGGCAUGGGAAUCAAACGGG